UACGUAGGGUGCGAGCGUUGUCCGGAUUCACUGGGCGUAAAGGGUGCGCAGGCGGCCGAGUGUGUGAGGCGUGAAAGCCCGGGGCUUAACCCCGGAAUUGCACCUCAAACUACACGGCUAGAGCAUUGGAGAGGGUAGCGGAAUUCACGGUGUAGCAGUGAAAUGCGUAGAUAUCGUGAGGAACACCAGAGGCGAAGGCGGCUACCUGGACAAUUGCUGACGCUCAGGCACGAAAGCUAGGGGAGCAAACAGG
RNAcentral lists this ribosomal RNA (253 nucleotides) under uncultured bacterium. RNAcentral's name for it is "partial 16S ribosomal RNA". It matches the Rfam family "Bacterial small subunit ribosomal RNA", at positions 524 to 776 of the family's 1533-position model. The record is from RNAcentral.